GGUUGUGGCUCAGUGGUAGAGCACUUGCCUGGCAUGUGUGAGGCACUGGGUUCAAUUCUCAGCACCA
This 67-nucleotide transfer RNA is filed under the name Marmota marmota marmota (Alpine marmot). It matches the Rfam family "tRNA". Rfam says of the family: Transfer RNA (tRNA) molecules are approximately 80 nucleotides in length. Their secondary structure includes four short double-helical elements and three loops (D, anti-codon, and T loops). The record is from Rfam by way of RNAcentral. Lineage: Eukaryota; Metazoa; Chordata; Mammalia; Rodentia; Sciuridae. RNAcentral also lists the same sequence under 1 other name.